RNAcentral lists this ribosomal RNA (113 nucleotides) under uncultured eukaryote. RNAcentral describes it as "partial small subunit ribosomal RNA". It matches the Rfam family "Eukaryotic small subunit ribosomal RNA", at positions 1676 to 1785 of the family's 1831-position model. The record is from RNAcentral.
UCGCUACUACCGAUUGAAUGGUUUAGUGAGGUUUGCGGAAUGCGUCUCUCAGUUGGGUUUCCUUCUGCUUGUACGCGUGAAGCAACACAAACUUGACCAUUUAGAGGAAGUAA